AACGAACGCUGGCGGCAUGCCUAACACAUGCAAGUCGAACGAGACCUUCGGGUCUAGUGGCGCACGGGUGCGUAACGCGUGGGAACCUGCCCUUAGGUUCGGAAUAACUCCCCGAAAGGGGUGCUAAUUCCGGAUAAUGUCUUCGGACCAAAGAUUUAUCGCCUUUGGAUGGGCCCGCGUUGGAUUAGCUAGUUGGUAGGGUAAAAGCCUACCAAGGCGACGAUCCAUAGCUGGUCUGAGAGGAUGAUCAGCCACACUGGGACUGAGACACGGCCCAGACUCCUACGGGAGGCAGCAGUGGGGAAUAUUGGACAAUGGGCGAAAGCCUGAUCCAGCAAUGCCGCGUGAGUGAUGAAGGCCUUAGGGUUGUAAAGCUCUUUUACACGGGAUGAUAAUGACAGUACCGGGAGAAUAAGCUCCGGCUAACUCCGUG
Molecule: ribosomal RNA, 433 nt
Filed under: uncultured bacterium
Lineage: Bacteria
Description: partial 16S ribosomal RNA
Rfam family: Bacterial small subunit ribosomal RNA
Source: RNAcentral